Molecule: long non-coding RNA, 2714 nt
Filed under: Daucus carota (carrot)
Lineage: Eukaryota; Viridiplantae; Streptophyta; Magnoliopsida; Apiales; Apiaceae
Description: long non-coding RNA (DCAR_LNC001149)
Source: RNAcentral
UUACGUCGCUUCCACUUUUGGUUUAUCCUGAUUCUCUAUAGUUCCGACUUUAAUUUGCUGUUUACUACUGUAGUAUUUACUGCAUAUGCAUUGAUCUUGGCAUGCUUAGGGGAUAUAGAUAUGUAUCAUACAGAUAUAAUUUCUGAUCACGUCAAGAGCAAAAGAAAGUUAGAGUUUGUAUGUGGGUUGCAUAUUACAGUUCAGCAAGCGGCAGAGUUUGGGCACGCUACUAUGUUCAAAUUUGGUUUUAGUGUUUGAAUUUCUGAUGCAUGCACUUACUUUUAAAAGGCACUUUAAGCCAAAAGCCUUAAAUAAGCCAAAAAAAAUUCUUCGCUUUAAUAAAACUACAUCAGAUAAAGAAAAUCUGAAAAACGCUUAAGAUAACACACACACACACACACACAUAUUAUUAUUAUGUAUGGAUAAAUUAUAUCUGACAUUUAGCGCACUUAUAAAACCAAUUUUGCACUCCCUCGCGAAUUUUUUCCGAAACUGCUUGAUGUACGACCUCUAAACCUUUAGCCCUUGUGAGCCAAUUUGAUUGCAUGUUCCAUGACAAAGUAGUUCUCAUCUGCUCGUCACCUUUUAAUUUUUGAGCAUCAAAUUGGAAAGGAACAACAGUUGGCAAGAUCCAUUUGUCUGUAGUUUUGUGACUAAAUAAUAUCUAGUUGCCAAGAUAUGUAUCUUAAAGAUAUAUAAUUGUCGUGAAUAUUCUUGUCGUCUCAGCAACUCUGGUAUUCUUCUAGAUUCUAGAGAAACCUCCUUGGAACUUAUUUUACACAUUCAGCCCCAAUUAAGUUGUUGAAGUUCCCACUUCAUGCAUUUAGCCAUGCUGCAAUUGAAAGGACAAGAAUGUUUACAACAAUAUGUGUGAAAAUAUUAGUAACUACCAAAGCAGAUAUAUAACUUUAAUUUUUUUUGCAAAUAAGUUCCCACUCCUCUGAGGUUGCUUGACAGUGUGCAUUGAGUUUGAGAGUUGGGGAUCCAUCACAUUCGGAAAGAACACUUAUUAAAUACAUAAUAACUACCAAAGCAGAUAUAUAACUUAAAUUUUUUUUGCAAAUAAGUUCCCACUUCUCUGAGGUUGCUUGACAGUGUGCAUUGAGUUUGAGAGUUGGGGAUCCAUCACAUUCGGAAAGAAAACUUAUUAAAUACAUAAUACUAAAAAACAUUACAUAAAUAUAAAAUAUCCCCUCGACAUAAGUCCUUAUUUUUAUCAUAAGAGACCAGCCAAACCCGAAUGCUAAACUCCCCUUAAAAACUUAAUUCCAGAAAAUAGUAUGUAAAUGUAAAUUUUUUCCUCAAAUUAAGUCCUUAUUAUUAGAUUCUAUCAAGUACUGCAAUGAGAAGCGUAAGCACGCUUAUAGUUUUUUUCACUAGUCAAUAAUUUCUGUAUCCUUGUUCCAUGGCUGUAUUUAUUGUCAAAUAGCUUGGGGAAAGAGCUGGAUAGUUUCUCAAACAUGGUCGUGAAAUAAGGGGUAAAUCAUUCAGUGAUACAUAUGAGUUCAGGAUUCUUCAUAAUGUAAAUGAAGAAAUCAUAUUUUGUGGGGAGGAGAUGUGUACUAGAUCUGGUUUGAUAGUAUUAUAUUUACUUAGUAGCCAAGGACAAGAGGAUAUAGUAUUUUCAAUGAUACAUAUAUGCAAAAUUGACGAUGAUGCAAAUAUUUAGAAUGAUAGUAGGGGCAAAAGUAUAAAGUUAUCAACACCGUGACCUUUUUCCAUUAGCAACACCACAUACUCGACCAAAGGACUGCUGCUUAAUCGUUUUAAAUAUCGAAAGCACACUUAUGUGGUUUUACGAGAGACUAUAGUACAUGUGUACCAAAAGAGAGAAGGUCCAAAUCGCCAAAUAUGCCAUUAAUAGCCGGACCAUUCUCACUGGAGAAAUGAAUCAUUAAUCUAUAACAAACUCGUGUAUUGUUGUGACACAGUUCCAGAGUGUUUCCACUCCAAUGAAGUGUUGAAUUAUGUAUUCAGUAUUUUAAUAUGGAAAUGUUUUAGAAUCCCUUUCCUUUUCCCAUUAACCUUGUUGGUAAAUUGCAUCUGUAUUAUUUAGGUCAAUGUCUUUAAGUAUAUAAAAACAUACAAAUGGUGUGUUGAUAAAAAUGUAUAACUUGUUUAUGGCAAUGUGAUAUUAAUCAAUUUGUGAGCGUUUUUUUCAAUAAUCACGCGUAUAUUUUGGUAGAUGUAUUACAUUUAGCCGAACAUUCUUGAAACACCAAUGCAUUAGCUGAAUAUCUACAAUUGAAACGCAGUCCUAAGUCUAAACAAGUAUUUGAGAAUAUGAUAUGACUAUAUGACUGAACAUGGUGUUUUGCAGAUGUUAUGAUUACAUAAAAUUCUACAAAUGAAUAUAUAUAAGUGCAGACUUAAAGUUUUGAACUGUUGAAAAGGUUUACCUCAAAUUUUUAUUGUUUUUGAUUCUGUCGAACGCUCAUAAUCAACCCAAAUUUCUUGCAAAAAAACUUAUAAAGUAUCAUUUGAUUUACUAGUCGUCCAGUAUAUGUCCAGUCUCUUUGAAUGAUUAUUUCAAUCAUUUUGUUCACGAGGAGUACAUUUCCUUAAGACUGAUGGAGGGGAGACACUUCGGGAACCACUACUUCAGAACAAUACAGGAGUUUGUUACACGUUUCACCUUAUCUCUAUCCGAUGUGCACCUAGAUAGACAAGUGCACUUUUGAAAGCUGUAACGAUUAACUGGCCACUGCUUUUUU